RNAcentral lists this ribosomal RNA (254 nucleotides) under uncultured bacterium. Its description in RNAcentral is "partial 16S ribosomal RNA". It matches the Rfam family "Bacterial small subunit ribosomal RNA", at positions 524 to 776 of the family's 1533-position model. The record is from RNAcentral.
UACGUAGGGGGCUAGCGUUGUCCGGAUUUAUUGGGCGUAAAGAGCUCGUAGGCGGUGUGUCACGUCGGCCGUGAAAACCUGCAGCUUAACUGUGGGCGUGCGGUCGAUACGGGCAUCACUGGAGUUCGGCAGGGGAGACUGGAAUUCCUGGUGUAGCGGUGAAAUGCGCAGAUAUCAGGAGGAACACCGGUGGCGAAGGCGGGUCUCUGGGCCGAGACUGACGCUGAGGCGCGAAAGCGUGGGGAGCAAACAGG